Molecule: long non-coding RNA, 211 nt
Organism: Mytilus trossulus (common blue mussel)
Lineage: Eukaryota; Metazoa; Mollusca; Bivalvia; Mytilida; Mytilidae
Exons: 3
Source: RefSeq, a predicted model, not a curated record
UAAGAAAAUACCAUAUGGAAAUCUACACCCAACUACAAAGGCUCAGCAAAAAGUAAAUCUUCAAAAGAACAGAUUUAAAACAACAUUUCCAUACGACCAUACACGGGUUGUGUUAGAACCAGGUCAUGGAAAGUCUUCAGAUUAUAUAAAUGCUAACUACUUAGAUGGUUUCAAAAAGGAAAAGUGUUAUAUAGCAUCUCAAGGUAUACUA